This 657-nucleotide ribosomal RNA is filed under the name uncultured low G+C Gram-positive bacterium. Its description in RNAcentral is "bacterial SSU rRNA". It matches the Rfam family "Bacterial small subunit ribosomal RNA", at positions 42 to 665 of the family's 1533-position model. Lineage: Bacteria; Bacillati; Bacillota. The record is from RNAcentral.
AAGCGCUUAACACAUGCGAGUUGAACGCUCCGCCCUCUACUGCCCUUCGGGGCAGAAGAGGAUUACGGAGAGUAGCGGACGGGUGAGUAACGCGUAGGUAACCUGCCUUGGAGAGGAGGAUAACUCUGCGAAAGCGGAGCUAAUCCUCCAUAUGUUAGGGCAUCGUAAGAUGCCUUAAUGAAAGGCGGCAUUAAGCCGUCGUUUCAGGAUGGGCCUGCGUCGGAUUAGCUAGCCGGUAGGGUAAAGGCCUACCAGGGCGACAAUCCGUAGCUGGUCUGAGAGGACGAUCAGCCACUUUUGGGACUGAGACACGGCCCAGACUCCUACGGGAGGCAGCAGUGGGGAAUCUUCCGCAAUGGGCGCAAGCCUGACGGAGCGACGCCGCGUGAGUGAAGAAGGCCUUCGGGUCGUAAAGCUCUGUCAGUGGGGAAGAAGGCAGUCAUCAAGAAAAGGGUGACUGUUGACGGUACCCGCAAAGGAAGCCCUGGCCAACUACGUGCCAGCAGCCGCGGUAACACGUAGAGGGCAAGCGUUGUCCGGAAUUACUGGGCGUAAAGGGCGCGCAGGCGGCAAGGCAAGUCGGGUGUGAAAACCUGGGGCUUAACCCCAGGCGUGCAUUCGAAACUGUCUUGCUUGAGGACAGCAGAGGGAAUCGGA